Molecule: ribosomal RNA, 253 nt
Filed under: uncultured bacterium
Lineage: Bacteria
Description: partial 16S ribosomal RNA
Rfam family: Bacterial small subunit ribosomal RNA
Source: RNAcentral
UACAGAGGUCUCAAGCGUUGUUCGGAUUCAUUGGGCGUAAAGGGUGCGUAGGCGGCGCGGUAAGUCGGAUGUGAAAUCUUGGAGCUUAACUCCGAAACUGCAUUCGAUACUGCCGUGCUUGAGGACUGGAGAGGAGACUGGAAUUUACGGUGUAGCGGUGAAAUGCGUAGAUAUCGUAAGGAAGACCAGUGGCGACGGCGGGUCUCUGGACAGUUCCUGACGCUGAGGAACGAAGGCCAGGGGAGCAAACGGG